CAUACGGCUGGGGCCAACCGCCGCUAAGUCCAAAGAGAGAGAGAAAAAAAAAAAAACUCUCCGCAGCCAAAUCGAGAUCUCUUUCCCGUCCUCCAAGCCGGCGACUCCCUCCCCGUCCGGCGGCGGCGUCGGCGUCGGCGUCGGCGGCGAAGAGAUCGAUCGAUGGCGUCGGCGUUGUCCUCCCUGCGCUACGGCGACAGCCUCUCGGUGGUGGCGAUCUCGGGCGCCACGGCCGUGCUCUGCGAGGCCAUCUCCUGGCUCCUCAUCUACCGCACCGCCACCUACAACUCCCUCCGCGCCACCAUCGAGCGCCACUCCCGCAAGCUCGACGCCAUGAAGGCCGGCGCCUCCAACUCCUCGUCCUCCUCCUCCGCCGGCGCCGGCGCCUCCGGGUCCUCCCAGCCCGCGGGCUCCUCCUCGUCGCGGGCCAAGAAGAUGGACCGCGUCGAGACCAGCCUCAAGGACGCCGCGCGGGAGCUGUCGCUCUCCAAGCUCAAGUCCGGCGCCGUCGUGGCCGCCGUGCUCUUCGUCGUCUUCGGCCUGCUCAACUCCCUCUUCGAGGGCCGCGCCGUCGCCAAGCUGCCCUUCGCCCCGGUGCCGCUCGUCCAGCGCAUGAGCCACCGUGGCGUCCCCGGGAACGACCCCACCGACUGCUCCAUGGUCUUCCUCUACUUCCUCUGCUCCAUCAGCAUCCGCACCAACCUGCAGAAGCUGCUCGGCUUCGCGCCGCCCCGCGCCGCGGCCGCCGCCGGCGGGGGCCUCUUCCCCAUGCCCGAUCCGAAAGUAAAUUGAGGUAGCGGAUUUGAUCCUUUGCUCCAAUUCUCCCCAAUACUUACCGUUAUUGGCCGUGCUAAUUAUACUAGAACUGAAUAGAUCAGGAUGCUUAGUUCUGAUUAUGAAAUUUGCAUACUGGAUCUACUGAUACAAACGGGGGCUUGAAUUUUCUUUUGUUAUGAUCCAACUUUCUGAUGCAUUUGCCUGAUAUUGUAAUGAGAUUGGAAUGCAUUUAAUAUCCUUCUGGAAUUGAAUGAGCACAUAGGUUUGCUCCAAAACUUGAGGUGUAUCCUGAGUAUUGUUUUUCCUGUUAUUUUGUGGGGUAAUCUAGAUUAUGGAUUCCCUGAAUUGAUUAUCUGCUCAUUUGGAUGAAUUCAUGAUGUUAUGUGGAUUGCUUGAUGUAUAAGAAUUAGUCCCGACUUUUGAGUUCUUACCCCUUUAGAGAAUGUGCAAAAGGAUUGCGCACCUUUGUAUUAUGAAGGAACAAAGGUUUUUACACCACCUGCAUGCAAAAGCAGCAGAUCGACCUGAGUUCUGGCCCUGAUCAAUGAUCAAUGCUGUAGUUCAGAAGUGUGCUUUGAUAACAUUGAGUGUGUGUUUGUACAUUUUUUAAACAGUUUUAGUGGCCAAGAAACAAUAGCUUUAGCUAAUUUCUCGUCUUUAAUCUGUCUAUGUCUGUUCUCUGAGUUCAAAAUUGUGCAAGCAUGCCCCAAUAGUUCUUCCUCAUGUUUCUGGGGCAAAAUUCAGCACAUUCAAGCAGCAUCCCUAUUGCUGUUUGUUGUGAAUCUGCGCUUGGAUCUACGCUGUGGAUGUUUAUGGAAUUUACAUUUUAUAAGUUCUGGAAAUAAUGUGAUUGAAUUUUCCAAUUUUUAGUGGAUACAAAUUUUGUGUUGAUACUUUCAUUAAGGACGAGCCGACAAUUAUCCGAUUAGUUCAUGCUAGCCCGUUUCUGUGGAUAGGUGUUACUCAGGUCUAACAUCCAAUAAUUGGGUACCCUACCAAAGAGCACUUUUGGACCUAACAGUUGCCAUGCUUUAUUCAUUCUGUGCCACUAGGACUGUUUGUUUUUAAUCAGUACUUUGUUUAGUCAUAAUGGGGUUUUUCAUUAACCUACUUAGUGAGGCGUGGACAUGUGUAAUGGAGAAAACCUUUGAGAAUAUUUUCUCAAUAGGGGUCUGCCUCUCCAAUGUAUGUCAAACUAGUGAUUUAUCUCACUACAGUGUAUAGUAGCUUUGUGCAAGUAAUAGCCGCUUGUUCAGAGAAGUAUGAUCCAUGGGUAACCAUUGAUAAAUACCAAUACCUCAGUUCUGUGGUAAACAUACAAAAUGUAUCUCAGAAUUGCCAUAUGAUUUAGUAGUCAAAACAUCCCAAAUAGCUUGCUUGAUUUUUUUUGUUUGACUGUUUGAAAUUUUAAUCUUUUGACUUUGAACAUGCUGUUUAAGUGAACAGAACACUGAAAUACUGAUGCUUGAUGAAUUUACACUCUGUAUGGUGGUGAGGAUAGUUCAUGCUGAUCACUGAUUGAACUAUCUUUCAUGCACACCCCCAUGACCGUGACGGUGUUGAUUUCGGCAUGGACUUCCGUCUCCGAGAAGAGUGAUUACGAUGGAAACGGGGAGAAAUGCCAUGAGAUUCUGUACUCAUACGCCUGUUUACAAAUUCGUUUCCCAUAACUUGCUAGCCAGGUAUUCGCACACAUGACCUGCAAACUGAUGGAAGCUAGACUUUUUAUUUUUAUUAUUCCAUAGAGCAAGCAGUGAAGUGAACUUGACCACGUGAAGCCAGGUUGCUGCGUGUCAAUGAAACCGUGCAGCCAGCUAUCGAACUCUUCUAGCCUUUUGUCUCUUGUGUCAAAGAUAACAUUGUUGCCAUGAUGCCAUCCCCUCUUGCUCUGUUGUGUGGAC
This is a non-coding RNA of Oryza sativa Japonica Group (Japanese rice), 2678 nucleotides long. Lineage: Eukaryota; Viridiplantae; Streptophyta; Magnoliopsida; Poales; Poaceae. The record is from RefSeq and is a predicted model, not a curated record.